This 801-nucleotide ribosomal RNA is filed under the name Chalarus brevicaudis. RNAcentral describes it as "eukaryotic LSU rRNA". It matches the Rfam family "Eukaryotic large subunit ribosomal RNA", at positions 2621 to 3367 of the family's 3401-position model. The record is from RNAcentral. Lineage: Eukaryota; Metazoa; Arthropoda; Insecta; Diptera; Pipunculidae.
CGACUGGGGCGGUACAUCUCUCAAAUAAUAACGGAGGUGUCCCAAGGCCAGCUCAGUGCGGACAGAAACCACACAUAGAGCAAAAGGGCAAAUGCUGACUUGAUCUCGGUGUCCAGUACACACAGAGACAGCAAAAGCUCGGCCUAUCGAUCCUUUUGGUUUAAGGAGUUUUUAACAAGAGGUGUCAGAAAAGUUACCACAGGGGUAACUGGCUUGUGGCGGCCAAGCGUUCAUAGCGACGUCGCUUUUUGAUCCUUCGAUGUCGGCUCUCCCUAUCAUUGUGAAGCAAAAUUCACCAAGCGUUGGAUUGUUCACCCAUGCAAGGGAACGUGAGCUGGGUUUAGACCGUCGUGAGACAGGUUAGUUUUACCCUACUAAUGACAAAUUGUUGUUGCGACAGCAUUCAUGCGUAGUACGAGAGGAACCGCAUGUACGGACCUAUGGCACAAUACUUGUUCGAGCGAACAGUGGUAUGAUGCUACGUCCGUUGGAUUAUGCCUGAACGCCUCUAAGGUCGUAUCCGUGCUGUACUGCAAUGAUAAAAAUGGGGCAAUUGCAUUGUAUGGCAACUAAAUCAUUUUAAAGUUUAUAAAAUUUAAUUUAUAAACGACAUUAUGAAUUUGUGAUGCCAAUGUUAAAAAGUAAUAUAGCAAGUGUGCGUAUAUGAAUAAUACCCGCAUGAAGCGCUUAAUUACUUAGAUAAAACAUUAUUAAUACAAUGACAAAGCCUAGAAUCAAUUGUAAACGACUUUGGUAACGGGCAAGGUGUUGUAAGUGGUAGAGCAGCUGCCAUACUGCGAU